CGGAUAAAAGCUACCCCGGGGAUAACAGGCUUAUCUCCCCCAAGAGUUCACAUCGACGGGGAGGUUUGGCACCUCGAUGUCGGCUCAUCGCAUCCUGGGGCUGUAGUCGGUCCCAAGGGUUGGGCUGUUCGCCCAUUAAAGCGGUACGCGAGCUGGGUUCAGAACGUCGUGAGACAGUUCGGUCCCUAUCCGUCGUGGGCGUAGGAAAUUUGAGAGGAGCUGUCCUUAGUACGAGAGGACCGGGAUGGACAUACCUCUGGUGUACCAGUUGUCGUGCCAACGGCAUAGCUGGGUAGCUAUGUGUGGACGGGAUAAGUGCUGAAAGCAUCUAAGCAUGAAGCCCCCCUCAAGAUGAGAUUUCCCAACUUCGGUUAUAAGAUCCCUCAAAGAUGAUGAGGUUAAUAGGUUCGAGGUGGAAGCAUGGUGACAUGUGGAGCUGACGAAUACUAAUCGAUCGAAGACUUAAUCAAAA
Molecule: ribosomal RNA, 472 nt
Filed under: Staphylococcus aureus
Lineage: Bacteria; Bacillati; Bacillota; Bacilli; Caryophanales; Staphylococcaceae
Description: partial 23S ribosomal RNA
Rfam family: Bacterial large subunit ribosomal RNA
Source: RNAcentral